UUCGGGCUGAGUGGCGGACGGGUGAGUAACGCGUGAGAAUCUACCUUCAGGAUGGGGACAACCGUUGGAAACGACGGCUAAUCCCCAAUAAGCCGCAAGGUAAAAAGGGUUUCCGCCUGGAGAAGAGCUCGCGUCCGAUUAGUUAGUUGGUGAGGUAAGAGCUUACCAAGGCAGCGAUCGGUAGCUGGUCUGAGAGGAUGAGCAGCCACACUGGGACUGAGACACGGCCCAGACUCCUACGGGAGGCAGCAGUGGGGAAUUUUCCGCAAUGGGCGCAAGCCUGACGGAGCAACGCCGCGUGUGGGAAGAAGGCUCUUGGGCUGUCAACCACUUUUCUCAGGGAAGAAGUCCUGACGGUACCUGAGGAAUCAGCCUCGGCUAACUCCGUGCCAGCAGCCGCGGUAAUACGGAGGAGGCAAGCGUUAUCCGGAAUUAUUGGGCGUAAAGCGUCCGCAGGGGGCACAUCAAGUCUGCUGUUAAAGGCUGGAGCUUAACUCCGGUAGAGCAGUGGAAACUGGUGUGCUCGAGGGCGACAGGGGUAGAGGGAAUUCCCAGUGUAGCGGUGAAAUGCGUAGAGAUUGGGAAGAACACCGGUGGCGAAAGCGCUCUACUGGGUCGCACCUGACCCUCAGGGACUAAAGCUAAGGUAGCGAAAGGGAUUAGAUACCCCUGUAUCUUAGCCGUAACGAUGGAUACUAGGCGUGGUUGUUCGACCCAACCGUGCCAAACUAACCUUAAUAUCCCGCUGGGAGACGCAGCAAUGUGAACU
This 769-nucleotide ribosomal RNA is filed under the name uncultured bacterium. RNAcentral's name for it is "bacterial SSU rRNA". It matches the Rfam family "Bacterial small subunit ribosomal RNA", at positions 85 to 900 of the family's 1533-position model. The record is from RNAcentral.